RNAcentral lists this ribosomal RNA (1384 nucleotides) under Agrococcus jenensis. RNAcentral describes it as "bacterial SSU rRNA". It matches the Rfam family "Bacterial small subunit ribosomal RNA", at positions 57 to 1333 of the family's 1533-position model. The record is from RNAcentral. Lineage: Bacteria; Bacillati; Actinomycetota; Actinomycetes; Micrococcales; Microbacteriaceae.
GCAGUCGACGAUGAAGGAGGAGCUUGCUCCUCCGGAUUAGUGGCGAACGGGUGAGUAAUACGUGAGCAAUGUGCCCUUGACUCUGGGAUAAGCGCUGGAAACGGCGUCUAAUACCGGAUACGACGACCGGAGGCAUCUCCUGGUCGUGGAAAGAACUUCGGUCAAGGAUCAGCUCACGGCCUAUCAGCUAGUUGGUGAGGUAACGGCUCACCAAGGCGACGACGGGUAGCCGGCCUGAGAGGGUGACCGGCCACACUGGGACUGAGACACGGCCCAGACUCCUACGGGAGGCAGCAGUGGGGAAUAUUGCACAAUGGGCGCAAGCCUGAUGCAGCAACGCCGCGUGAGGGACGAAGGCCUUCGGGUUGUAAACCUCUUUUAGCAGGGAAGAAGCGAAAGUGACGGUACCUGCAGAAAAAGCACCGGCUAACUACGUGCCAGCAGCCGCGGUAAUACGUAGGGUGCAAGCGUUGUCCGGAAUUAUUGGGCGUAAAGAGCUCGUAGGCGGUUUGUCACGUCUGCUGUGAAAACCCGAGGCUCAACCUCGGGCUUGCAGUGGGUACGGGCAGACUAGAGUGCGGUAGGGGAGAUUGGAAUUCCUGGUGUAGCGGUGGAAUGCGCAGAUAUCAGGAGGAACACCGAUGGCGAAGGCAGAUCUCUGGGCCGUAACUGACGGUGGGUACGGGCAGACUAGAGUGCGGUAGGGGAGAUUGGAAUUCCUGGUGUAGCGGUGGAAUGCGCAGAUAUCAGGAGGAACACCGAUGGCGAAGGCAGAUCUCUGGGCCGUAACUGACGCUGAGGAGCGAAAGCAUGGGGAGCAAACAGGCUUAGAUACCCUGGUAGUCCAUGCCGUAAACGUUGGGAACUAGAUGUGGGGACCAUUCCACGGUCUCCGUGUCGUAGCUAACGCAUUAAGUUCCCCGCCUGGGGAGUACGGCCGCAAGGCUAAAACUCAAAGGAAUUGACGGGGGCCCGCACAAGCGGCGGAGCAUGCGGAUUAAUUCGAUGCAACGCGAAGAACCUUACCAAGGCUUGACAUAUACGAGAACGCACUGGAGACAGUGAACUCUUUGGACACUCGUAUACAGGUGGUGCAUGGUUGUCGUCAGCUCGUGUCGUGAGAUGUUGGGUUAAGUCCCGCAACGAGCGCAACCCUCGUCCUAUGUUGCCAGCACGUAAUGGUGGGAACUCAUGGGAUACUGCCGGGGUCAACUCGGAGGAAGGUGGGGAUGAGGUCAAAUCAUCAUGCCCCUUAUGUCUUGGGCUUCACGCAUGCUACAAUGGCCGGUACAAUGGGCUGCGAUACCGCAAGGUGGAGCGAAUCCCAAAAAGCCGGUCUCAGUUCGGAUUGAGGUCUGCAACUCGACCUCAUGAAGUCGGAGUC